GUCCACGCCCUAAACGAUGAGGGUUAGAUGUUGGAAAGUUUUGCUUUUCAGUGUCGUAGCUAACGCGAUAAACCCUCCGCCUGAGUAGUAUAGCCGCAAGGCCGAAACUCAAAGGAAUUGACGGGGACCCGCACAAGUGGUGGAACAUGUGGUUUAAUUCGAAGGUACGCGAAAACCUUACCAGCUCUUGACAUGCUAACAGCGGAUCUAGGAGACUAGAUCCUCAUUAAGUUGGGUUAGCACAGGUGUUGCAUGGCCGUCGU
RNAcentral lists this ribosomal RNA (263 nucleotides) under uncultured bacterium. RNAcentral's name for it is "partial 16S ribosomal RNA". It matches the Rfam family "Bacterial small subunit ribosomal RNA", at positions 793 to 1055 of the family's 1533-position model. The record is from RNAcentral.